RNAcentral lists this transfer RNA (67 nucleotides) under Marmota monax (woodchuck). RNAcentral's name for it is "tRNA.Ala". The record is from RNAcentral. Lineage: Eukaryota; Metazoa; Chordata; Mammalia; Rodentia; Sciuridae.
GGAUUGUGGCUCAGUGGUAGAGCGCUUGCCUAGCAUGGGCGCAACCUGGGUUCGAUUCUCAGCACCA